This 2205-nucleotide long non-coding RNA is filed under the name Canis lupus familiaris (dog). RNAcentral's name for it is "lncRNA (ENSCAFG00845000750.1)". Lineage: Eukaryota; Metazoa; Chordata; Mammalia; Carnivora; Canidae. The record is from RNAcentral.
GGCUGGCGUUCUGGGAGUCCUUGGGGACAAGCCUUCACAGAACCCACAAGCUGUGCGGACAGGUCCUCAGAGGCCUAGGGAGGCUGCAGGUCAUGGCAGUCAGGGAGAAAAUGACCUCUGUCCUGGCCGGAGCUCGGAUGAGAGGUUCUGGUUGCUAGGACACCAAAGAACGUGGGCAAGUGGGCGUGGAGCCUGGCAUGGGGCAGGGUGGGUGCUCAAUUAAAACUUGCUGAGUGUUUGAACAAAGGGUCCUUCAGUUAUGUCAGAGCGAUGACCCCUUCCAAGAGGCAUGUGGCAAAGGUCUGGAAAUAAAACAGUUGUUAUAAAAACAAAAGACCUGAAGAUCUGGCCUUUUGAGUGGAAGAGGACACAUGCCACUCCAAAGGGUGUUCCUUGCUUUCCAGAGGAUUUGCUGUCUCCAGGAAGCGACCCUGCCCUUCGGUCACCAGGCAGUACCUGAGAUUUGGCACUGCUGAGUUCUGAUGGCGGAACUCUCAGUCAGACGAUUUCAGGACAAACUUGUCACUGGACAUUCUCUGAAUGGCUCAUUGGAGCCAGAAGCCAAUUAACAUGAUUGGAAAUGACCAUUAGCAUUUUUUUCCCUCUCAAAUAAACUGGUGUCAAUGAUUAAAUCAGUUUUUUGUAAAGUGCCAUUCACCCACUUUGCCCAGACAAUCAUUUUCCAUGCUGCAUAAAUAGCUGAGAAGGAUAACCAGGUCACCUUUCCUCUCUAGCUCUAGGAAGGACCAGGCGCUAUUUGUCUCUGUGUCUGGCUUACUGACUUAGCAGAGUGUCCUCAAGGUUCAUCCAAGACAGAGCAGAUGUCAGAAUUCCCUUCCUUCUCAAGGCUGAAUAAUAUUCUGUUGUGUGUACAUACACAUUUUGCUCAUCCAUUCCUCUGCUGAUGGACGCUGGACACUGAGGUUGCGUUCGCAUUUUGGCUAUUGUGAAUAACGCUGCUGUGCGUAUGGCAGUAGAAAUGCCAGUUCCAGCGCCUGCUGUCAGUUCUCUAACCCAGGCAUGCACUGCUGAAUCAUAUGGUAAUCCAAGGUUAAUUUUUUGAGCACCUGCCAUAUGGCUUUCCAUGGUGGUGGCACCAUUCCCACCAGCAAAGCACAAGGGCUCUGGUUUCUCCAUGUGUUCACCAGAACUUGCUAUGUUCUGUUUUUCUGAUAAUAGUCACCCCAGUAGUUGUGAGGUGAUAGUUUGUGGUUUUCACAUGUAUUUCCCUAAUCAUCGGUGAGGCUGAGCAUCUUUUCAUGUGUUCAUUGGCCAUUUGUGUAUCUUUGGAGAAAUGUUUAUUCAAGUCCUUUGCACAUUUAAAAUUUUGUUGUUGUUGAGUUGUAGGAGAUCUUUACACAUUCUGGAUAUUAAGCACUUGUCAGACAUAAUUUUCCAGUUAACUUUCUUUUAGUCCCUGUUAGGGAAUGUGAUUAAAAAAAAAAAAAAAAAAAAAAAAAAACGUGACUGCCGGUUGACCUGUGAGCUGGGCCCAGGCACUGGAAGCUCCUCAGCCCUUCCCCUGUCCUUGGAAUGUGGGUUCCACUUCUCCUUCCUGCUCACAGAAACUGCUCCAAGGACAUAGUCUUGAGAUGGUGUUGUGAUGCUGAGAACACCUGCAUGAUUAUGUGACUGAGCCCAGUUAGGGCCUCUACGUUUUUUUAAAAAACAAAACAAAACAAUUUAUAUAUUUAUUUAUUUGAGAGAAAGAGAGAGUGUACAUGAGCAGGGGAAGGGAGGGGCAGAGGGUGAGGGACAAGCAGACUCCCUGCUGAGUGUAAAGCCCCAUGUGGGGCUUGAUCCCACAACCCUAAGAUCAUGACCUGAGUCAAAAUUAAGAGUUGGAUGCCCUACAAGCUGAGCCACCCAGAUGUCCUUUUAAGCUUUUAAGGGAUGCCUGGGUGGCUCAGUGGUUGAGCGUCUGCCUUUGGCUCAGGGCUUGAUCUUGGAGUCUCAGAAUCGAGUUCCUCAUCAGGCUUUCCGUGGGGAGCCUGCUUCUUCAUCUGCCUAUGUUUCUGCUUCUCUCUGUGUGUGUGUCUCUCAUGAAUAAAUAAAUAAAAUCUUUAAAAAAAGUGAUCUGGUGCGUGGGUCUGGGGAUCCACUCAUCUUGCUGCCACCCAAGACAAGACUCAUAUAUAAGUUCUCUUUGCCAUCUACUACUCAGAGUGGCCUGCCUCUUUGGUCUCUCCCUGCUCUCUGUUCCAG